CAGAGGGUGCAAACGUUGUUCGGAAUUACUGGGCGUAGAGCGCAUGUAGGCGGCCAAGCAGGUCGGAUGUGAAAUCCCUCGGCUCAACCAAGGAAGUGCAUUCGAAACCGCAUGGCUCGAGUCCCGGAGAGGAAGGUGGAAUUCUCGGUGUAGAGGUGAAAUUCGUAGAUAUCGAGAGGAACACCGGUGGCGAAAGCGGCCUUCUGGACGAGGACUGACGCUGAGAUGCGAAAGCGUGGGGAGCAAAUAGGAUUAGAUACCCUGGUAGUCCACGCCGUAAACGAUGGGUGCUAGGUGUCGCGGGCUUUGACCCCUGCGGUGCCGUAGCUAACGCAUUAAGCACCCCGCCUGGGAAGUACGGCCGCAAGGCUA
RNAcentral lists this ribosomal RNA (372 nucleotides) under uncultured organism. RNAcentral's name for it is "bacterial SSU rRNA". It matches the Rfam family "Bacterial small subunit ribosomal RNA", at positions 526 to 896 of the family's 1533-position model. The record is from RNAcentral.